Molecule: ribosomal RNA, 263 nt
Filed under: Clostridioides difficile
Lineage: Bacteria; Bacillati; Bacillota; Clostridia; Peptostreptococcales; Peptostreptococcaceae
Description: partial 16S ribosomal RNA
Rfam family: Bacterial small subunit ribosomal RNA
Source: RNAcentral
GAAACUCAAAGGAAUUGACGGGGACCCGAACAAGUAGCGGAGCAUGUGGUUUAAUUCGAAGCAACGCGAAGAACCUUACCUAAGCUUGACAUCCCAAUGACAUCUCCUUAAGCGGAGAGUUCCCUUCGGGGACAUGGGUGACAGGUGGUGCAUGGUUGUCGUCAGCUCGUGUCGUGAGAUGUUGGGUUAAGUCCCGCAACGAGCGCAACCCUUGUCUUUAGUUGCCAUCAUUAAGUUGGGCACUCUAGAGAGACUGCCAGGGA